Molecule: ribosomal RNA, 250 nt
Filed under: uncultured prokaryote
Description: partial 16S ribosomal RNA
Rfam family: Bacterial small subunit ribosomal RNA
Source: RNAcentral
UACGGAGGGGGCUAGCGUUGUUAGGAAUUACUGGGCGUAAAGCGCACGUAGGCGGAUUAUUAAGUCGGGGGUGAAAUCCCGGGGCUCAACCCCGGAACUGCCUUCGAUACUGGUAGUCUUGAGGUCGAGAGAGGUGAGUGGAAUUCCGAGUGUAGAGGUGAAAUUCGUAGAUAUUCGGAGGAACACCAGUGGCGAAGGCGGCUCACUGGCUCGAUACUGACGCUGAGGUGCGAAGGCGUGGGGAGCAAAC